CUGCAGGUGUGACUGAGUCACGGCAGGGAAUCGUCGAGCGCCCUCAUGACCCGCAGGAGGGCGGACUCGGGAGACGAGGCUAAUCGGAUCAGACACCGACCGGCAAAUCGCACCUACUCAUUUUUUGUUUGUUUUUUCCAGGGAGAUGGGGGAUGGGUGUUGUAAAUUGCCAGACGUGCUAUUUGAAGCCCCCCCGCCUCUUUUUUGAGUACUCAAGUACAACAUGUGACCGCUUUGGCUACUUUUCACACGCGUAAUCGCUAGCUAGCUACAAUCACAAGAAUGCAAAGACGUAACAGCGACAAAGACACAACUUGCCCGCGAGGACCGUGAGAACGCGCUUCAAGAUGACAUCAGGUUGGCCCCUCUGGGUCAGGAGGUGGGAGUCUUUAUAGCGGCGCAUGCGGGUGCCUCGGAAACUUCACAUCCUCCGUUGGAGGAAGAUGCAAGAUGUGCUAGCGCAGAUAAGAACUUCGACGGAGUCAAUCUUCGGCGCGCAUAACUUUCAAGGUCAACCAUUUCCUCUCAGCUCUUCAGCAGAACCUUAAGAAGUGCUCUCACGUUGCAGCUGCGCCGGGAGCGUUAACAGCAACAAGGCAAGGUGAGGAGGAAGAGCCCCGAUUUGCCGUCACCGUGCCGCCGCGCAGGUGAGCCGCCGC
This is a long non-coding RNA of Syngnathus acus (greater pipefish), 659 nucleotides long. RefSeq lists it as uncharacterized. NCBI's taxonomy places the organism in Eukaryota, Metazoa, Chordata, Actinopteri, Syngnathiformes, Syngnathidae. The transcript has 4 exons. The record is from RefSeq and is a predicted model, not a curated record.